AAGAACUCUUUGGUGGUUCCCAAUUGUACAAGCUUUAGGCGAAUCAUCCGCGGAGAUGACUAGUGGUAAGCGCUACCUGAUGAUGACUGCGAUGGUGCUGAUGAUGACGACUGCAGUGCUGCCGGCGAAGGUGAAAGGAAGACUUGCCGUUCCAAGAAUCUCCCAGAUACCAUUGUCAAGAGCAUAACUCAACCAGACUGUAGUCCUUGCUAUGUUCUCGACAACAAUGGAGAAUGUAAACUAGAUGUGACUUGCAUGCACCUGGGACGAAAACCACUCUUGUAAUUCUAUCAUGGACGAAUAAUGCACUAUAUUUUAAGCCCUUGUUGAAGCAUUAUUUUAUGAGCCUGUCCCCAUCUGCUCCCUUUUUAUUGUUCACUUUUGUUCCUGAUUAAGACAACCGGGAUACUAAUGAACGUGUAAAACAAGAUUUCCUAUAUUCUUUUCUCUAUAUGAUUUAGUAGAAUAGUCAAGAGGAAAUAUUGGUUUCUAAUGCAUCUUGCAUAUUAAAAACUCUGCUUUCCAAAAAACAUAUUGUGUGUAGCCAUACUUUUGCCUUCUAUGUAGUAACUUUUACAAACACCAAAUACACUUUUCUAUGGAAAUAGU
Penaeus chinensis is the source of this 609-nucleotide long non-coding RNA. RefSeq lists it as uncharacterized. The transcript has 3 exons. Lineage: Eukaryota; Metazoa; Arthropoda; Malacostraca; Decapoda; Penaeidae. The record is from RefSeq and is a predicted model, not a curated record.